Pan troglodytes (chimpanzee) is the source of this 6958-nucleotide long non-coding RNA. RefSeq lists it as uncharacterized. The transcript has 2 exons. The record is from RefSeq and is a predicted model, not a curated record. NCBI's taxonomy places the organism in Eukaryota, Metazoa, Chordata, Mammalia, Primates, Hominidae.
UGGAAUACUGUGCAGCCAUAAAAAGAAUGAGUUCAUGUCCUUUUCAGGGACAUGGAUGAAGCUGGAAGCCAUCAUUCUCAGCAAACUCACACAAGAACAGAAAACCAAACACCUCAUGUUCUCACUCAUAAGUGGGAGUUGAACAAUGAGAACACAUGGACACAGGGAGGUGAAUGUCACACACCAGGGCCUGUCGGGGGUUGGGGGGCAAGGGGAGGGAGAGCAUUAGGGUAAAUACCGAAUGCAUGCAGGGCUUAAAACCUAGAUGACGGGUUAAUAGGUACAGCAAACCACCACAGCACAUGUAUACCUAUGUAACAAACCUGCACAUUCUGCACGUGUAUCCCGGAACGUAUAGUUUAAAAAAAAAAAAGAAAAUGGAAUUUUUUUGUCGUUGUUGUUGAGACAGAGUCUCACUCAGUCCCAGGCUGGAGUGUGCAGUGGUGUGAUCUUGGCUCACUGCAACCUCCACCUCCCAGGUUCAAGUGAUUCUUCUGCUUCAGCCUCCUGAGUAGCUGGGAUUACAUGUGCACACCACUAGGCCUGGCUAAUUUCUGUAUUUUUAGCAGAGACGGGGUUUCACCAUGCUGGGCAGGCUGGUCUCGAACUCCUGACCUCAAGUGAUCUGCCUCAGCCUCCCAAAGUGCUGGGAUGACAGGCAUGAGCCACUGCAACUGGCCUAAAAAUAAUUUUUUUUACAGAGGAAUUAAGAACAAAGUUAUCAGCAGGUUCUAAGUCAAGUCAAGGGGCUUUCUGGCAUUCCUUAUGUGAUUGGAGAUACAAAGUGAAAUAAAUAAAGGUUCGUCUUUUUCAGGAGUGACUACCUAGACCAUAACACAGGUACACCAUAGCGAGAGUUGUCUCUGACUAAUUUAAGCUCAACAGGUGCAGGAGGUGCAGGGAAGGUUAUGCCUAUGGGGGAAAGUGUAGGUUGGAGAUGGUAGGGGCUGUGUUCAUCAGGUGGACCAGCAGAACAGGCAACACAGAUGGAAAAGCACAUGCCAAUCCCAAGAGAUACCCCACAGCCAGUUGUGUGGAAGAAAACCACCAGCUAAGAUGCAGACUCAAAGGGGAAGAGGAUGUGAAGGAACAUACCUGGGGGAAGACUGAGCCUCCCAGAGCUCCUUGGGAUUCAUUUCCUGGAGACUUUUUUUUUUUUUUUUUUUUUUGAGAGAGAGUUUUGGUCUUGUUGCCCAAGCUGGAGUGCAGUAGUGUGAUCUCAGCUCACUGCAACCUCCACCUCCCAGGUUCAAGCGAUUCUCCUGCCUCAGCCUCCUGAGUUGCUGUGAUUACAGGAAUGCACCACCACACCUGGCUAAUUUUUUGUAUUUUUAGUAGAGAUGGGGUUUCACCAUUUUGGCCAUGCUGGUCUCGAACUCCUGACCUCAGGUGAUCCGCCCACCUUGGCCUCCCAAAGUGCUGGGAUUACAGGUGUGAGCCCCUGCACCCGGCCGUAUUCCCUGGAGACUUUUAAGCUCUCAGUGACUGCCUCAAAUGUUCAGUAUAUAAUUCUCACCUUCACCUGCCUCAUGGAAGACAAACUCGAGAAAGACUCCCAGUAGGAAGGAACAACAGCAUUCCCUAAGCCGGAAAGCAUCGCUUAAAAUCAUUUUCCCUUGUUCUCUAUUCAAAAUGUAUGCAGCUGCCAGCUUUUCAUCUGAGGCAGCGGCUGAAAAGCAGGAUGUACCUGGAAAUCCUGUCUGUGCACAGCAGCACACAUGAGGUUGGAGGCCGCUCACUCCGCUGCCUCGGGCUUGUGCCGUCUUGAGUUCUAAUGCCCGUGCUCAUUAGGUUGGACCAGCACAGCGUGGGCAGACACCGUGGAAUGACAGGCGUCCCUCCUGCAGCGUUCUGCCUGUCUUUAACAGGUGCUUCCAAAGCUCGUUCCCUAAGGCCAUUAAGCAGCCCUCAGGUGACAGAGACACUUUGACUAAACUGGCCCAAGAAACGUACCCUUCAUUCAUUGUUGGAACUCGAUGCCAACUUAAUUUUGCUUGUAGACCAGCACACAGCUGUGCAGAGCUGUCAAACACAGACACAGUAGAAUGACAUGUUCUCAAGCGUGCGUCUGAACUCAUCUGUAUGGAAAAUGGAAGUCAUAAGACCUCCUUUGCUGUGUUGUUUGAAAGAUCAAAUGCAAAAUAUGUGUGAUUCCUUAUACAACACUCUUGCACAGUGAUGCAUUUGUAAAGCCUAUUUAUUUUUGAUGAACUCUUAAGAAAGCCUUGAAGACAUUCUGUGUGCAUGGUGUCUGCCCUUCUGCCCAGAAAAUACACAUCUGACAUUUUAUUUUCCCCAUCUUCCAGCAAUCUCAUGGUAAAAAGUCAUUGGAAGAUCACACACCAAUAUGGCGCCCACUGCAAACCAAACACGUGAACGUAUAUAAUAAGGUUUGUCUCUUCUCUCUGUUCUGCACGUAGUAAAGCUCUGUCUUAACAUUGAAAAAUCUGGGCAAAUCUCCUGUAGAUUCCAGAAGAAAUACCAAGUCUGAGAUGAAAGCUGUUGCUCCCUGGUGCCACCCUCAAUGCCUUCUUUAUGUCAUUCUGACUUAGAACUUGCUAAUGAGUUUUCCUCUUAAUUUGUCUUUGAAAAAUUACUUUUCACGGUGGUAAAAUAGCAUACCAUAAAAUGUACCAUCUUGACCAUUUUUUAAAGUGUACAGUGGCAUUGAAUACAUUUAUAGAGUUGUGGAACCGUCAACACCAUCCAUCUUCAGAACUCUCUUCAGUUUGCAAAAUGGAAACUUUGGACUCAUUAACAAGCAACCCCCGGUUCGCUCCAGUCCCCAACCUACUGCGGGCGUUUCCCUGCACAAGCUCUCUCUCUGCCUGCUGCCAUCCAUGAAAGACAUGACGUGUUCCUCCUUGCCUUCCACCAUGAUUGUGUGCCUUGGAACUGUAAGUCCAUUAAGCCUGUCUUUCUUUUGUAAACUGCCCAGCCUGUGGUAUGUCUUUAUAAGCUGCAUGAAAACAGACUAAUACCGGGGCUCUCCGUAUUCGCCUGGUACCUGGCACUGGGGACCUUAGGGCAAGUGGAGAGUGGCCAUGGGAUGCGAGACUCCCACACAGAAUGUUGUUGGGGUGUGGAAUCUAGAUUGAUUGUUUUGCAUAUGAAAGACAUGCUCAUAGAGGAGUUGUUCAUGUUCUCCAGAAAUUGCCUAACCCUGAGAUGGUCAGUUUCUCUAGAGGCAGCAAGACCCCCUAGUGUCAAAGCAUCACAUACAGAAAUCAGGAAAUGCAAUAAUGAUAGGAACAUUCCCCUGCCAAAGGACCCUUACACAGUCUUUAGCUGCUUUCAGAGAGAUGCUUGGUGGAGGGGGAGGGGGUCCUCAGCCCUACCAAACUGUGGAAGAAUGCAGUCUUCUCAAAAUACAUGGACUUGUGCUUCUAAAGCGUAGCUCUAAUGCAUAGUGAGUCUUGCUGUAUUAGUCCGUUUGGAUGCUGCUGAUAAUGACAUACCUGGGUAUGUCUUCCAAUUCUGUAAAUCUGCCAUGACUACAAAUCCCCAUGUCUCGUUUCCUAGCUGUUUUUAAAGAAAACUAGAGCCACAAAACACACAAAGCAAUGGAAGCUGUGCUGUUCUCCUUUACUUUCAUAAAUGCCUAUUUCCACUCAGGAGAAGACGUACCUGAUAAAGAUAUACUUGGGAGACUGGGUAAUUCGUACAGAAAUAGAGGUUUAAUGGACACACAUGCCAUGUGGCUAGGGAGGCCUCACAAUCGUGGCAGAAGGCAAGGAGGAGCAAGUCACAUCUUACAUGGAUGACGGCAGGCAAAGAGAGAGCUUCUGCAGGGAAAUGCCCUCUUAUAAAACCAUCAGAUCUCAUGAGACUUAUUCACUGUCAUGAGAACAGCAUUGAAAAGACCUGCCCCCAUGAUUCAAUUACCUCCUCCCACAGGGUCCCUCCCACAACACGUGGGAAUUCAAGAUGAGAUUUGGGUGGGGACACAGCCAAACCAUAUCACUUGCUUUAUCCCUCAUUUUUGGAAACAGCUCAUCAUACACAUAUGGCUUUCCUCAUGCAGCAGAAAUGCCUGGCUUUUAAUGACUGGAUAGUAGGAAAAUGACCUACCUUGACUAUUGACUGGAUUCCUUCCUAGUUAUGUCUGGGGAGAUUUUCGUCAUUCUUGUAUCUUUUUACAACACCCUCAAAAUCUGGAAUUACUUUGGAUGUCUCCAAAUUUCUUUUCUUUUUUUAUUUUCCCCAGAGUUUCGCUCUUCUCUCCCAGGCUACAGUGCAGUGGCAUGAUCUUGGCUCACUGCAGCCUCUGCCUCCCAGGUUCAAGCAAUUCUCCUGCCUCAGCCUCCCAAGUAGCUGGGAUUACAGGCACUCACCAUCACGCCUGGCUAAUUUUUGUAUUUUUAGUAGAGACAGGGUUUCGCCAUGUUGGCCAGGCUGGUCUCAAACUCCUGACCACAGGUGAUCCAGCCACCUUGGUCUCCCAAAGUGCUGAGAUUACAGGCAUGAGCCACCGUGCCCAUCCAGAAGUGUCCAAAUUUCUUAGUGCUUCCUGAGCAAGAGGGUGUCUUCCCUAAUGUGCUUCUCACUUUUAAAGUAGUUUCUUGGAAACGUUACACUUCUGUAAAUCUGCCAUGACUACCACUCCCCGUGUCUUGUUUCCUAGCUGUUUUUAAAGAAAACUAGAGCCACAAAACACACAAAGAAAUGUAAGCUGUGCUGCUCUUUUUUUUUUUUUUUUGAGAUGGAGUCUCACUCUGUCGCCCAGGCUGGAGUGCAGUGGCUCCAUCUUGGCUCACUGCAAGCUCCGCCUCCCGGGUUCACGCCAUUCUCCUGCCUCAGCCUCCCGAGCAGCUGGGACUACAGGUGCCCGCCACCAUGCCCGGCUAAUUUUUUUGUAUUUUUAGUAGAGAUGGGGUUUCACCGUGUUAGCCAGGAUGGUCUCGAUCUCCUGACCUUGUGAUCCGCCUGCCUUGGCCUCCCAAAGUGCUGGGAUGACAGGCGUGAGCCACCGCACCCGGCCUCGUGCUGCUCUUUUUGGCACUCAUAAAUGCCUCAGGCAGAACACUCAGAGAUACCAAAUCCCAGUUCAGUGAAUGUUUCUGGUUGUUAAACACAAUGUCUCUGAUCUAGUAUAGCAACUUUGUUCCAUGGAGAAGAAAACAGAGUUCACAUUUCUGAGCUUCCUGCCUAGGCUGCCUGGCAGGAAUGAGUUGGUCAGCUCUGAGGGUAAUUUCCUGUGCUAAGUAGGGUGGGCUGAAUAAUGAGCCCUAAAGAUAUCAAAGUCUUAAUCCUUAGAGCCUACUAAUCUCUGACCUCACAGGACAACAUGCACUUUGCAGGUGUGGUUAAAUUAAGAAUCCUGACAUGGAGGGAUUACACUGGAUUAUCCAGGGGGACUCCAUAGAAUCAAAAUCGUCCCUUUUUUUUUUUUUUUUAUUGAGACAGAGUCUUGCUCUGUCUCCCAGGCUGGAGUGCGAUGGCACGAUCUCGGCUCACUGCAAACUCCACCUCCCAGGUUAAAGCCAUUCUCCUGCCUCAGCCUCCCUAGUAGCUGGCAUUACAGGCACCUGCCAUCAUGCCUGGGUGAUUUUUGUGUUUUUGUGGAGAUGAGGUUUUACCAUGUUGGCAAGGCUGGUCUUGAACUCCUGACCUCAGGGGAUCUGCCCACCUCAGCCUCCCAAAGUGCUGGGACUACAGGCAUGAGCCACCAUGCCUGGCCUCAAGGGGUCUUCAUAAGAGGAAAGGAGAAGGAGUUUUCACACAGAAGAGGAAAAGAUCAAUGUGAAGAUGGAGACAGAGACGGGAGUGAUGUGGCCACAAGCCCAGGGAUGCCUGGAGCCCCCGGGAGCUGGGAGAGGCAGGGAGGAUCCUCCCGUAGAGCAUCCAGAAGCAACUGGAUAUAAUAGUAAUGCAUUGAGCAGUGGCCCCCAAAAUAUAUGUCCAUGUCCUGACUCCCAGGACCUGUGAAUGCAACCUAAUGUGGAAAUACAAUCUUUGCAGAUGUAAUUAAGUAAAGGAUUUUGAGAUGAGAUCAUCCCAGAUUAAGGUGGGUCCUAUAUCUCAUGACAGGUGUCUUUCUAAAAGACAGAAGAGGAGACAUAGACACAAAGUAGAAGGCCAUGUACUGAGGCAGAGACUGGAGUGAUGUAGCCACAAGCCAAGGGAUGCCUGGAGCCCCCAGGAGCAGUGAGAGGCAGGAAGGAUCCUCCCCUAGAGCCCCCAGACGGAACCAAACACAACUGCAGUGGAUUGAAUGGUGAUCCCCAAAAGAUCUGUCCAUGUCCUAACCCCUAGAACCUGUGAAUAGGACCUCGUUUGGAAAUAGCGUCUUUGCAGAUGUGAUCAAAUUGAGGAUGUUGAGAUGAGAUUAUCCUGGAUUGGGUGGGCCCUAAAUGCAAUGACAGGUGUCCUCCUAAGAGACAGAAGAGGAGAGACAGACACACAGGAGAAGGCCACGUGGAGACGGAGGCAGAGACUGGAGUGAUGUGGCCACAAGCCCAGGGACACCUGGAGGCCCCAGGAGCUGGGAGAGGCAGGAAGGACCCUCCCCUAGAGCCUCUGGAGGGAGCACACAGCCCUGCCCAUGCCUUGAUCUCACGCUUCUGGUCGCCAAGACUUGGAGAGAGUACAUUGCUGCUGUUUAAAGCCACAGAACUUGUAAUCAUUUGUUAAAGUGGACUCAAGAAACAACUACAAUGGCUUCCCACUGGGGUUGAUGUCACCAACAGGCACAGAAGUUGAGCAGCAUGAGAGACUGGUCAAGACAAACCAGAGCCUUGGGGAAGGGAGUGUAGGUGGUGAGUCAGCGUAGGGAGGACAGGCUGUGAAUGUUCCAGCACAGACAUUGCCUCUGCCCAACGUGCCGAGGUGGCCUCUUUACAUCCUCCCUCUCUGAGGUUUAGGGUUCUUACCAACUCUAGCCCACUAAUAACUCCCAUCACUUGAGUGAAUUGUUCGGGGGAAUAAUCUGCUUUUUCUUUUCUUUUCUUUUUUCUUU